UACGGGGGGGGCAAGCGUUGUUCGGAAUUACUGGGCGUAAAGGGCUCGUAGGCGGCCAACUAAGUCAGACGUGAAAUCCCUCGGCUUAACCGGGGAACUGCCUCUGAUACUGGAUGGCUUGAGAUUGGGAGAGGGAUGCGGAAUUCCAGGUGUAGCGGUGAAAUGCGUAGAUAUCAGGAGGAACACCGGUGGCGAAGGCGGUUCUCUGGGCCUUACCUGACGCUGAGGAGCGAAAGCGUGGGGAGCAACCAGG
RNAcentral lists this ribosomal RNA (253 nucleotides) under uncultured bacterium. RNAcentral's name for it is "partial 16S ribosomal RNA". It matches the Rfam family "Bacterial small subunit ribosomal RNA", at positions 524 to 776 of the family's 1533-position model. The record is from RNAcentral.